RNAcentral lists this ribosomal RNA (484 nucleotides) under uncultured bacterium. RNAcentral's name for it is "partial 16S ribosomal RNA". It matches the Rfam family "Bacterial small subunit ribosomal RNA", at positions 29 to 507 of the family's 1533-position model. The record is from RNAcentral.
AUUGAACGCUAGCGGGAUGCUUUACACAUGCAGGUCGAACGGCAGCGCGGACUUCGGUCUGGCGGCGAGUGGCGAACGGGUGAGUAAUGUAUCGGAACGUGCCCAGUAGCGGGGGAUAACUACGCGAAAGCGUAGCUAAUACCGCAUACGCCCUACGGGGGAAAGCAGGGGAUCGUAAGACCUUGCACUAUUGGAGCGGCCGAUAUCGGAUUAGCUAGUUGGUGAGGUAACGGCUCACCAAGGCGACGAUCCGUAGCUGGUUUGAGAGGGCGACCAGCCACACUGGGACUGAGACACGGCCCAGACUCCUACGGGAGGCAGCAGUGGGGAAUUUUGGACAAUGGGGGCAACCCUGAUCCAGCCAUCCCGCGUGUGAGAUGAAGGCCUUCGGGUUGUAAAGCACGUUUGGCAGGAAAGAAACGUCGCGGGCUAAUACCCCGUGGAACUGACGGUACCUGCAGAAUAAGCACCGGCUAACUACGUG